UUCGCUCGCGUUGUACCAGAUGGCCUUCUUGUAUUUUUUCCUUCAUAUUACAUUUUGGAGCAAUGCAUUGGCUGCUGGAAAACUUUGGGACAUUCAAUCUCAAUGGGUUCAAGCACAAUAUGGGAAAGGAUAUGCAAACACAAGCUGCCUGUGGUUGAACCGAGACAAUCUUCCCUUUUCCCAACGGCAAUUGAAGACUAUAUGGCCAAGUUAAAGGACAAAUCAGCAUCUGGGGCUGUAUUUUUUGCCGUCUGUCG
Solanum tuberosum (potato) is the source of this 257-nucleotide long non-coding RNA. RefSeq lists it as uncharacterized. NCBI's taxonomy places the organism in Eukaryota, Viridiplantae, Streptophyta, Magnoliopsida, Solanales, Solanaceae. The transcript has 3 exons. The record is from RefSeq and is a predicted model, not a curated record.